UACGAAGGGGGCUAGCGUUGCUCGGAAUUACUGGGCGUAAAGCGCACGUAGGCGGCUCUUUAAGUCGGAGGUGAAAUCCUGGAGCUCAACUCCAGAACUGCCUUCGAUACUGAAGAGCUCGAGUCCGGGAGAGGUGAGUGGAACUGCGAGUGUAGAGGUGAAAUUCGUAGAUAUUCGGAAGAACACCAGUGGCGAAGGCGACUUACUGGACACAUAUUGACGCUGAGGUGCGAAAGCGUGGGGAGCAAACAGG
Molecule: ribosomal RNA, 253 nt
Filed under: uncultured bacterium
Lineage: Bacteria
Description: partial 16S ribosomal RNA
Rfam family: Bacterial small subunit ribosomal RNA
Source: RNAcentral